CACAACCUUUCUUCAGGAUAAAAUCACAGGGACAUGGCCAAGCUGUAUACAUGAUUAACAGUUACUGCAAUGAGAAAGGGUUAGAUGUAACUGUCCAGUCUGUGUAGUAAAGCUCUACAUACUUCAUGGACUCUUGCAUCACUUCCAUUUACAGGGUAUGGUAUAGCCAUCUAACUCGGUGUGGGCAGAAGAAUGUGUACCAG
Molecule: non-coding RNA, 203 nt
Organism: Pelobates cultripes (western spadefoot toad)
Lineage: Eukaryota; Metazoa; Chordata; Amphibia; Anura; Pelobatidae
Source: the annotation of a GenBank genome assembly